AUGGCUGCCAUGCACGAGAGCACUCCGUCGCUCCUUGUGCUCUUCUUGUCGCUAAUGCUCUUUUUCACGGCGUCUUCCGCGCGCCACAUGACUGGUGAUCCACCGCCGGUUAUUCCUUCCCCGCCGCCCCAUAUGGCUUCUCCAACAAUGGAGGAGGCGUGGGAAGGCGUCAUGGUGGCACCGAGGCCAGUUCCUUCUGGACCGGACCCUAUACACCAUCGUCCUCAUGCCCCCCCGCCCCACAGGCCUCCCCCAUCAACGGAGGAGGCGAGGGAAGGUGUCAUGGUGGCACCGAGGCCGGUUCCUUCUGGUCCGAACCCUAUACAUCACUUUCCCGCCCCGGCGCCACAACCCCACCAUCAUCACCGAUGUCAUGACCUACCGCCCGCAUCAACAGAGGAGGCGUGCGAAGGCGAUAUCGUGGCGCCGAGGCCAGUUCCUUUUGGAUCACACCCCAUACAUAACCACCCUGCUCCAGUGCCUCAACCCAACCAGCAUCGUCGACGCAAGGCCCCACCGCCUGCAUCUUUGGAGGAGGGGAGGGAAGGCGACAACAUGUCACCAAGGAGGCCACUUCCUGUUUUCGGACCAAACCCAAACCAUAACCACCCCGCCAAGGCACCGGCUCCUCCUCAUGAGUAA
Molecule: ribosomal RNA, 642 nt
Filed under: Triticum aestivum (bread wheat)
Lineage: Eukaryota; Viridiplantae; Streptophyta; Magnoliopsida; Poales; Poaceae
Description: partial small subunit ribosomal RNA
Source: RNAcentral